Molecule: long non-coding RNA, 1786 nt
Organism: Mya arenaria
Lineage: Eukaryota; Metazoa; Mollusca; Bivalvia; Myida; Myidae
Exons: 5
Source: RefSeq, a predicted model, not a curated record
UGUAGCCCUACAAACUUCAGAUACUGCCAAGCUUGGGUGCACUGGGCCGGUUAUCCAGCCGUGUGGAAUCAACAUCUCCAGCUGAACUUGGGCCGGGAAUUAUAUAAGAAUCCUUAGCAGCAUGAGUGCCAGCCAGUCAUUGCUGUUCUUUGCAUUGCUGAGGAGGACAGUCCUGCCAACAUAAUAGUUUGUUCAAUAACAGGAGACAAACAGAAACACAGAGGUGCUAUACAUUCCGAUGGAAAAUACAACAAAAGAAGAAUUUUAAGAAAGGUGAUGGUUGGGCACACACAAGAAGACAUAGAUCACAUGUGUCCAGGCAUAUGAGUAGACAGGAGUUUCACACUCUGCCAAACUUACUUCAUCAGAGGAGCAGAAAGCUUCUCAAGAUCCCGCACUGCACACUUAGAUAUAGUCUUUGACUACAACAAGGGGAUGAAAGUACAGAGAGGUCCAAUUGAAAUCAAUUCUGUGCUGCGUCAUUUCUUCAUUCUGGAAGUCGAUGGACAUGAUUUAUCAUGGCAUCAGGUGUGCAGUUUGUCGACUAUCAGCAGUCUUGUUCACCAGUUGUGCAACUUGAGCUGGUAGCUUUAUUGCUUGAAGCCACAGCAUAAGAGGGGGAAGGUGCAGGCUCAUCAAAAAGUCUCAAAAGUUGAAACUAGGAAAAGAAGUUUGUCAAGAGUGUGAAUAUUUGCUUUGAAAACCAUCGUUACGAUGAUUUGGUUUCCUUUGAAACUUGAUACAUACUAUGUGUAUGUUGAAUGAAUUGAGAUGCUUAAAUAAAGAAUCGCUAUUCAAAUAUCAGGAAACUGCAUUUUUCAUACUAAAGGGUAAAUGAUGUCGCCAUUUCCUGUAUGUAUUUAAAUGAGAUAUGUUUCCACAAUUAAUAUUUUUAGGGAAUUUUUCUCAUCCUAAUGAAUGAGAUUAAAUUGUACAGCGUUAUAUGAGCUUAAUAUGUGUUUUCUGUUUCUUUAAAAUUGGUGAAAAAUUGUCAGAAGAUAAUUAGACCAGUAUCCAUUACUACAAUCAAAUAUACAGGGACAAACCCACUGGGCAUAUAAUAUAAUUAAACCCUGUUUAGGGGCACGAGGCAAACAGAGUUACUUUCAAACGUUAAAGCUGCACUCUCACAUUUUGGACGUUUUGACAACUUUUCUCAUUUUAUGUCUUGGAUUGGAACCAUCCAAUUUUUGCGAAAAAUUAAAUGGCAGAUUUUUCUAUUUAAGUUAAAACAUUGAUGUUUUAUGCACUUUUCUUAAACCGUUAGUAACAUUAAUUUUUGAACGGAAAUAUGAAAUCUGUGAUCUGAUCUUUUGUCAGCAAUCUUUUAUCAUUGGUUUGCAGAUAAUUACGCAAAAAAUUGCUCAUUCAAAAACAAAAAUAGUUGUGAAAACGGUAUAUCUGUGGGAGUGCAGCUCUAAAUGUUGAAUUUCUUGAUUUUACUACUGUAUUAGAAAUUACAGGGGUUGGGGCAUUUUUUUAGUGUUUUUAUUGCUUUUUAUUUUCAUACAGUCAUACUUUAUUCCUCAGGGCAUAACUUACAAAUAGACAAAACUGGAAAAUGGUCGUUUCAAAAGGCCAAAGAUAAUGCAAGUUGAACAAUCAUAUUGUUCAUGGCUUGUAUUUUUGGUGUAUUUUGUUGCAUAUGCUAUAGAAAAGUUGAAAGUUAAAAAUAAAUUCAUAGUUGAAAUGAUGGCUUUGAAUGGUAUUGUCAGAUGAGAAACGGCACUUUUAAGAAAUAGGUAUAAUGGUACUUUAUUUAUUUUGAUCAAUUUUAGAUAUUGUA